Molecule: unclassified non-coding RNA, 2116 nt
Filed under: Hevea brasiliensis (rubber tree)
Lineage: Eukaryota; Viridiplantae; Streptophyta; Magnoliopsida; Malpighiales; Euphorbiaceae
Source: RNAcentral
AAAAAGAAAAAAAAAAGAGAGAGAAUAAAAGAAAGAGUGAGACUUUUCAGAGAGAAAGCGAGGGAGAUGUCUUAGUUCUGUUUCUUUCAUCUUGUUUGGCAAGAUUUCUUCUUACAGUCCCAUUUCUUUUUUCUUCUCCUUAGAGCUUCCUUAUUAUUGGAUUGGGUAUCAGAGAGUGUUUUGUGUCUGUUUCUGCUACACAGAGAUGGGUGACCAUAGAAUAAGUAUAUGGUCUUUCAUGGGGGUGGCCUUGCUAGUGACCUGCAUCAGUGGAGAAGACCCUUAUAGAUUUUAUACAUGGAAUGUAACCUAUGGUUAUAUCUAUCCGCUUGGAGAGAAGCAACAGGGGAUUUUAAUAAAUGGGCAAUUUCCAGGGCCACAGAUUGAGUCAGUCACCAAUGAUAAUUUGAUUAUCAAUGUUUUCAAUAGCUUGGACGAACCUUUCCUCAUUUCUUGGAAUGGUGUGCAACAGAGAAGGAAUUCUUGGCAAGAUGGAGUCCAUGGCACCAACUGUCCUAUCCCACCUGGGCAGAACUUCACUUAUGUGCUCCAAGUGAAGGACCAGAUUGGUAGCUACUUCUACUUCCCUUCCCUUGGCAUGCACAAGGCUGCAGGAGGCUUUGGUGGCUUCAAAAUUGCAAGCCGAUCUGUCAUUCCUGUACCAUUCCCUCCUCCUGCUGGUGAUUUCACCAUCCUAGCGGGUGAUUGGUUCAAGAGAAAUCACACUGAUUUGAGAGCAAUUCUAGAUGGUGGAACUGAUCUUCCCUUCCCUCAUGGCCUGCUUAUUAAUGGUCGUGGAUCAAACGGAUACACAUUUACGGUGGAUCAAGGUAAGACUUACAGGUUCCGGAUAUCAAAUGUGGGGCUUACCACUUCCUUAAAUUUCAGAAUCCAAGGGCACAAGAUGUUGCUGGUGGAGGUUGAAGGAACUCACACUCUCCAGAACACUUAUGACUCCCUUGACAUUCAUUUGGGGCAAUCUUAUUCUGUGUUGGUUACAGCUGAUCAACCAGCACAAGAUUACAAUAUUGUCAUCUCAACGCGAUUCACUACCCAAGUGCUUACCACAACCUCCAUUCUUCAUUACAGCAAUUCAGCAGGAAGUGUUUCAGGUCCUCCCCCUGGUGGACCAACUACUCAGAUUGACUGGUCUCUCGAGCAAGCUCGAUCUCUCAGGCGGAAUCUGACUGCGAGUGGCCCUAGGCCUAACCCCCAAGGCUCUUACCAUUAUGGAUUGAUCAACACAACGCGAACGAUUAGAUUACAAAGCACUGCUCCAAUCAUUAACAGCAAGCAGAGAUAUGCUGUAAAUAGUGUGUCCUUCAUUCCUGCUGAUACUCCUCUUAAACUUGCGGACCACUUCAAUAUAAGUGGAGCGUUUUCCCUCGGAAGCAUUCCUGACAACCCCACAGGUGGUGGUGCUUACCUCCAGACUUCUGUCAUGGCUGCUGAUUUCAGAGGUUAUGCUGAGAUUGUUUUUGAGAAUCCGGAACAAACUGUGCAGUCAUGGCACAUUGAUGGACACAACUUUUUUGUUGUUGGGAUGGACGGUGGGCAAUGGACACCAGCAAGCAGAUUAAGUUAUAAUUUGAGAGACACAAUUUCUCGAUGCACUGUUCAGGUCUAUCCCAAGUCAUGGACUGCAGUUUACAUGCCUCUGGACAAUGUGGGUAUGUGGAAUGUGAGGUCUGAGAACUGGCCUCGCCAGUAUUUAGGGCAACAAUUCUAUCUUCGUGUCUAUUCACUGGCAAAUUCAUGGAGAGAUGAAUAUCCAAUCCCAGGAAAUGCUCUUCUUUGUGGUCGGGCUGCAGGUCGUCAGAUUAGGCACAUAUGAUCAGCACACAGCAGGAUUGAUAGACUGUCAAGAAUGGUUGACAUAGUCCUGAGCUAAAUUUAGGAGUGCAGAGUUUUAGUGAAAACUUAAAGGGGCUUAACUUGAGCCAAUUUUACUAGAUGUUAUAUUUUAUGAAUCAUCUGUUUCUAGAAUUCAUCUCAUACUUCAUUCCCAGAUUGUUUCUUCAUUAUUGUAGUCCUAAUUUGAAUCUUUAUGUGAUAUUAUCACUAUUGAUAAUUUGGUAUUCAUUCUAUACAAUUGAAAAUUCUCAUAACAUUGCCU